AUGAACUUUAGAGUUAGUAUCCUCAAGUUACUUUUUAACUGCAUUACUAGACAGCGGUUGGCUUUCAGUUACCAGGUUUUUCAGGUUUUGCUGCUGUUAAUUGUAUUUGGUAAGUUGCCUCUCAUUGUGCUUGUCGUCGGAACCAGCAACAGCAGAAGCUUGCCUGCUGCCCUACCUCUUCAGCAAUCUGAUGGAUUUACAGGCUUGUUUGUUUCAUUGGUGGCUUGCUGCUCGGGUUCUUUGUUGAUUUUGUUGGAUGUGUGUUGUUUACCAACAAGGAGCUUCAUAAGGGUUGCUCACCGAUGA
Molecule: ribosomal RNA, 306 nt
Filed under: Triticum aestivum (bread wheat)
Lineage: Eukaryota; Viridiplantae; Streptophyta; Magnoliopsida; Poales; Poaceae
Description: partial small subunit ribosomal RNA
Source: RNAcentral